This 98-nucleotide transfer RNA is filed under the name Heyndrickxia oleronia. RNAcentral's name for it is "tRNA-Ser". The record is from RNAcentral. Lineage: Bacteria; Bacillati; Bacillota; Bacilli; Caryophanales; Bacillaceae.
UUAUUUUUUUAGUUAGUGGUUAUAUAAUAGAUAAGUUUGGAAAGUGUAUGGUUGCUAAAAAAAAGGUAAUACAUUAUUUCGAUUGUAAUAAUAGCAAU